CAGCACCUCAAGUGGUCAGGAUGAUUAUUGGGCCUAAAGCAUCCGUAGCCUGUUCUGUAAGUUUCCGGGUUAAAUCCAUUAGCUCAACUAAUGGGCUGCCGAAAAUACUGCAGAACUAGGGAGUGGGAGAGGUAGACGGUACUCGGUAGGAAGGGGUAAAAUCCUUUGAUCUAUUGAUGACCACCUGUGGCGAAGGCGGUCUACCAGAACACGUUCGACGGUGAGGGAUGAAAGCUGGGGGAGCAAACCGGAUUAGAUACCCGGGUAGUCCCAGCUGUAAACGAUGCAGACUCGGUGAUGCCCUGGCUUGUGGCCAGUGCAGUGCCGCAGGGAAGCCGUUAAGCUUGCCGCCUGGGAAGUACGUACGCAAGUAUG
This 375-nucleotide ribosomal RNA is filed under the name uncultured organism. RNAcentral's name for it is "partial 16S ribosomal RNA". It matches the Rfam family "Archaeal small subunit ribosomal RNA", at positions 477 to 851 of the family's 1478-position model. The record is from RNAcentral.